RNAcentral lists this ribosomal RNA (837 nucleotides) under Triticum aestivum (bread wheat). RNAcentral describes it as "partial small subunit ribosomal RNA". The record is from RNAcentral. Lineage: Eukaryota; Viridiplantae; Streptophyta; Magnoliopsida; Poales; Poaceae.
AUGAAUCCUAAUGUCUGCGUUACUCAUCCAUGUGCAGAGGGGAAUAGCAGGUUAUGCGUCUCGGUGAGAGACUACUACUGUUACAUGCUCUAGACACGACCUGGGAUAUUCAAUCCCAUACUCUGUGGAGCACGAUUGCUCCAGCAAUGGGGGGUGGACAUGUACAUCAAGAUUGAGAGUUGUAGGUUGAAAUGGUACAGGAAGAACCAAACAAAGAUCCGUGCCGACCUGUAUAAAGGAGUUGUUGAUGCAAUUACAUCCGGGGAGACCCGGGCAAGCGCUGUUGGAGUAAGGAUAGUGCUACCUGGAACGUACCCAGGUGGCGACCGCGACAUGAAGCGGAGGCAUAUGGAUCCCAUGGCAAUUGUCCAUACUUACGGGAAGCCUGACAUCUUCUUGACCAUGACCUGCAACCCUAACUGGGAAGAGAUAACGAAUGAGUUGUUUCCUGGUCAGACAGCGCAAGACCGACCUGAUCUUGUGGCUCGUGUGUUCCAUGGCAAGCUAGAGGCUAUGAAAGAGAUGUUGUUCAAGAAGAAUAUCCUGGGUGUUGUUGUUGCACAUGUAUACGUAGUCGAGUUCCAAAAGAGGGGCCUCCCCCACGCACACUUUUUGUUGAUCAUGGAUUCUGCCUAUAAGCUUGUCGUUCCAGAGCAGUACGACCGACUCAUUUCUGCCGAGCUCCCAGACAAGAAAAAGUAUCCUGAACUCCACGCCUUGGUGGUGAAACAUAUGAUGCAUGGACCAUGCGGUGCUCUCAACCCCAAAAAUGUUUGCAUGCAACAGAACGAGUGCAAGUGCAGAUACCCGCGGUCGUUCAAUGAAAACACGGCAUAG